GAGAAGAACGUAGCGAAAUGCGAUAAGUAAUGUGAAUUGCAGAAUUCAGUGAAUCAUCGAAUCUUUGAACGCACCUUGCGCCCUUUGGCCAUUCCGAAGGGCAUGCCUGUUUGAGUAUCAUGAACACCUCAACUCUCAUGGCUCGCCAUGAUGAGCUUGGACUUUGGGGGUCUUGCUGGCCUGUGGUCGGCUCCUCUCAAAUGGAUCAGCUUGCCAGUGUUUGGUGGCAUCACAGGUGUGAUAACUAUCUGCGCUUGUGGUUUUCCAUCAGAUAACCUUCAGUGAUGGAGGUUCGCUGGAGCUCAUAAACGUCUCCCCUAAGCGGGGACAGCCCUUUGAAUGUUUGAUCUCAAAUCAGGUAGGACUACCCGCUGAACUUAAGCAUAUCAAUAAGCGGAGGA
This 401-nucleotide unclassified non-coding RNA is filed under the name soil metagenome. RNAcentral's name for it is "partial contains 5.8S ribosomal RNA, internal transcribed spacer 2, and large subunit ribosomal RNA". The stretch from base 3 to 120 matches the Rfam family "5.8S ribosomal RNA", at positions 38 to 154 of the family's 154-position model. The record is from RNAcentral.